Molecule: non-coding RNA, 213 nt
Filed under: Sorghum bicolor (sorghum)
Lineage: Eukaryota; Viridiplantae; Streptophyta; Magnoliopsida; Poales; Poaceae
Description: Bacterial small subunit ribosomal RNA
Rfam family: Bacterial small subunit ribosomal RNA
Source: Rfam by way of RNAcentral
UUGCAAUGAAUAAUCCUCUUCAAAGAGAGAGGUGCCCUCAGGAAUACAGGUGGUGCAUGGCUUUCGUCAGCUCAUGCCGUAAGGUAUUGGGUUAAGUCUCGCAACGAGCGUAACCCUUGUGUUGAUGUCUAGUCCAGUGUAGCUGACAUUGCUAAAAUGCAUCAACUUGGUGCUAAAAAUAGGAGAACAUAUAGCAUUAUAAAGACUGCUUAC